Long non-coding RNA from Armigeres subalbatus, 648 nucleotides. RefSeq lists it as uncharacterized. The record is from RefSeq and is a predicted model, not a curated record. The transcript has 3 exons. Lineage: Eukaryota; Metazoa; Arthropoda; Insecta; Diptera; Culicidae.
AAAUUAAUCUAACAAUGGCUCCGUGUCCUGCACUCAUAGACGCUGUUGCUGAACCAUUCACUUAUUGAGGCUGAAUUUUCUCCAAGAGUGUAUGAUAAACUUCUUAGUAUAAUGAAUCUCAAUAUCAUUUUGUUGGUUACCGUCUUCAUAUUGGGUGUGCUCCAAUGUCGGGCUGAAGAUGAGAAGCAACCUAAUAAAAACCCAAAGAAACGUUCUCCUUUGGAGGAUCUUCAGAAAGGGUGCUUCUGGAUGGGCUGCACAGGAGCGAAGUAAAAUAAAGCACGCAUGAACAUAAUUAUAUGAAGAAAAUAAUUAUAAAAACUUCAUGAUAAAUCCAAUAAAUGAAUUUUAUAGUUGAACGAAUACUAUGAUUUUGUAUAGUUAUUCCUGACGAAAAGCCAAUAUCAACCCGCUUCGAAAUACAGGCGCCGAACGAAUCAAUUUUCAAUAGCGAGAAAAAGUCGAACGCAGUUUGAUUGGGAACAAAUCGAAUAGGUAAUUCCAAGUACCUACACAGUCAAAUUAUCUCGAUUGGUAUACAACAUUAUGGGUCUAAUAUCAAAAGUUUGGUUUUGAUUUAUUUGACGAGAAAAAUAAAACAAAUAUAUUAGCCAUUGAGCAUCCAAGAAUGGCACACAAAUCUUGCAA